UAGGGAAUCUUCGGCAAUGGACGGAAGUCUGACCGAGCAACGCCGCGUGAGUGAAGAAGGUUUUCGGAUCGUAAAGCUCUGUUGUAAGAGAAGAACGAGCGUGAGAGUGGAAAGUUCACACUGUGACGGUAUCUUACCAGAAAGGGACGGCUAACUACGUGCCAGCAGCCGCGGUAAUACGUAGGUCCCGAGCGUUGUCCGGAUUUAUUGGGCGUAAAGCGAGCGCAGGCGGUUAGAUAAGUCUGAAGUUAAAGGCUGUGGCUUAACCAUAGUAGGCUUUGGAAACUGUUUAACUUGAGUGCAAGAGGGGAGAGUGGAAUUCCAUGUGUAGCGGUGAAAUGCGUAGAUAUAUGGAGGAACACCGGUGGCGAAAGCGGCUCUCUGGCUUGUAACUGACGCUGAGGCUCGAAAGCGUGGGGAGCAAACAGGAUUAGAUACCCUGGUAGUCCACGCUGUAAACGAUGAGUGCUAGGUGUUAGACCCUUUCCGGGGUUUAGUGCCGUAGCUAACGCAUUAAGCACUCCGCCUGGGGAGUACGACCGCAAGGUUG
Molecule: ribosomal RNA, 550 nt
Filed under: uncultured bacterium
Lineage: Bacteria
Description: bacterial SSU rRNA
Rfam family: Bacterial small subunit ribosomal RNA
Source: RNAcentral